This is a long non-coding RNA of Bos grunniens (domestic yak), 304 nucleotides long. The record is from Ensembl. NCBI's taxonomy places the organism in Eukaryota, Metazoa, Chordata, Mammalia, Artiodactyla, Bovidae.
CAGAGAUCACUGAUGACGUAGACCUCAUGUGACCAGGAGUCGACGUGUGCAGAAGUCCUGCUAGUCUGGUCCUUGUUCCCUUCUGGGUACCAGCUUCCUUCAGCAGCGGUAGCCGGUGGGGCCAACGGUGGGGAAGGAGAAGGAGUCUACUGGCUGAAAUUUUUCAGGUCUGCUACUCUGAAAAGGCCAGGAAGAAAAGUGAUCGGAUCCGUACAGGAAGAUGAAGGAAAUAUUAUAAAGACCCCUGGGGUGGAGAAGUAGUUGUUUUCAAAGAAAAAUAAGUAGAAGAAAAGAAAGGAAGAGG